Drosophila bipectinata is the source of this 232-nucleotide long non-coding RNA. RefSeq lists it as uncharacterized. The record is from RefSeq and is a predicted model, not a curated record. NCBI's taxonomy places the organism in Eukaryota, Metazoa, Arthropoda, Insecta, Diptera, Drosophilidae.
UGUUUUUCUAUAACUUCAUUUAUCUGAUUUCCUCAUUUUAUUCUUUAAAAUAUGUUUAUAACAUCAGAAACCUGGUAUCUUACUCAAUAUCCUCCAUGUUGUUUUUGUAGUUUGGAUUAUGUUUAUAACAUCAGAAACCUGGUACCUUACUCUAUAUCCUCCAUGUUAAUAGCGAUGGAUUAUCGCCUGGCAUAGCAGUUUUAUGUCUCCUUCAAUUUCACCAUUGUGCGGG